CAUCAACAUGCAAGGCCCCUCUAUGUUUUGAGAGCCACACCCUUUUCAACCAAACAACCACAGAUGCCAUACAUAAAUAAAAAGUGACCUUUGCCCAUGAAAAGAAUUUUGAUGAAUUGCAGGAAGUAAUAUACUGUGCAAGGAAAACAGCCUUUGAUCUUUUUUUCCCCCUUAAUGUAAAUCACUUCCCAUGAAGAACAAUCUGAGUCUAAUGAAGUUCUUUAAGUGGAGACUACAAAGACCCCCAGAAUAUUAGAGAAUAUUAGAGAAGUCUCUAAUUUAUUCCUCCUAAUGGAGACUGUGGAUAGGGGAGGCAGGAGGAGGUUGAGGAUGAAGAGGGAAUGACCGAGAGUUUUCAAGUUAGUCAGUGAAUAUUUCUUGGCUAUCAAAUGUGGGCAGAACUCUUUACAGCAAAGUUUUAAACUAUGGACUGGGGCCCAUCAGUGAACUCUGAGACUAGUGUAGAAAGAAAAAGAAAGAAGAAUAGAAAACAGUGUAUAACAUAGUAAGGAAAGCGUUUAUGUGAAAUUUUUCUAAAGGUGUGUGUAUACAGAAGAUGUAUACUAAAUUGUGGUAUAGACUCUUAUUUCUUUCUAUAUAUCAUGUUCUAAAAAAGCUUGGCUAGAACUACUCCAAAAAAAAAAAAAGUUUUGGAAAGCAACCAAGUUAUUCUCUCUAACCUCUGACAGCUUAAACAGAAAUGAUAAUUAAGGCAGAAAUGUCAAUUCUUAAGGUUCUAGAGCUUUUAGGGGGAUUUUAUACAGAAGAUUUAGAGCAGGGUAGAGUGAAGAGGUCAUCUGGGGAAAAAUAGGAGGGGUCAACUACAAGGGGAG
RNAcentral lists this long non-coding RNA (833 nucleotides) under Marmota monax (woodchuck). Lineage: Eukaryota; Metazoa; Chordata; Mammalia; Rodentia; Sciuridae. The record is from RNAcentral.